AGCGACCUGCACAAACCACGUAUAGCUAACGUGCUUGUUUUAUAGUAUCUUGAAUUUAUAUAAUAAGUUUAAAACUCCACUUCACUGUACAGGUAUAGAGACAGCACGGUUUUACUUCCUGAUACAUUAUGUUAUUGUGACAAACUGUCGCCUGCUCGAGCAGUGUACAAGAGUCAUGAACGGGUACUACAAAUCUCUAGCAAAGAUGUCACCAACGAAACUAGCUGUAAGGCCAAUAUAACCAACAGAAAAAAUGGCGUCGGGUUCAGACGAUAGUGGGGGCCUAAAGCCUUUCGAUUGGG
Long non-coding RNA from Mizuhopecten yessoensis (Yesso scallop), 302 nucleotides. RefSeq lists it as uncharacterized. NCBI's taxonomy places the organism in Eukaryota, Metazoa, Mollusca, Bivalvia, Pectinida, Pectinidae. The transcript is spliced from 2 exons. The record is from RefSeq and is a predicted model, not a curated record.